AGGGAUCAUUACCGAGUUUACAACUCCCAAACCCCUGUGAACAUACCACUUGUUGCCUCGGCGGAUCAGCCCGCUCCCGGUAAAACGGGACGGCCCGCCAGAGGACCCCUAAACUCUGUUUCUAUAUGUAACUUCUGAGUAAAACCAUAAAUAAAUCAAAACUUUCAACAACGGAUCUCUUGGUUCUGGCAUCGAUGAAGAACGCAGCAAAAUGCGAUAAGUAAUGUGAAUUGCAGAAUUCAGUGAAUCAUCGAAUCUUUGAACGCACAUUGCGCCCGCCAGUAUUCUGGCGGGCAUGCCUGUUCGAGCGUCAUUUCAACCCUCAAGCACAGCUUGGUGUUGGGACUCGCGUUAAUUCGCGUUCCUCAAAUUGAUUGGCGGUCACGUCGAGCUUCCAUAGCGUAGUAGUAAAACCCUCGUUACUGGUAAUCGUCGCGGCCACGCCGUUAAACCCCAACUUCUGAAUGUUGACCUCGGA
This 478-nucleotide ribosomal RNA is filed under the name uncultured Fusarium. RNAcentral's name for it is "eukaryotic LSU rRNA". The stretch from base 160 to 313 matches the Rfam family "5.8S ribosomal RNA". The record is from RNAcentral. Lineage: Eukaryota; Fungi; Ascomycota; Sordariomycetes; Hypocreales; Nectriaceae.